Molecule: long non-coding RNA, 257 nt
Organism: Talpa occidentalis (Iberian mole)
Lineage: Eukaryota; Metazoa; Chordata; Mammalia; Eulipotyphla; Talpidae
Exons: 3
Source: RefSeq, a predicted model, not a curated record
CCCAGCCCUCCCCACGGGCGCUGGCCAGACCCUUGGCCCUGGGGACCCAUCGCAGCACGACAGUUGGGCCUGUCACAGCCCCGAAGCCCACUUCCAAGUCUCAGGAGGCAGGUGGCAUGGGAGACUCGAAGCCCGGUGCCCCCAAAACUCAGGGCCAUUCACAGGCAGGAGCAGCUGCUAACCGAAGGCAUGGCGGCGGCGGCUCCUCAGACUCCAGCAGCAGCAGCAGCAGCAGCUCCAGUGGCUCGGACACCGAG